GACGAACGCUGGCGGCGUGCUUAACACAUGCAAGUCGAACGGAAAGGCCCUGCUUUUGUGGGGUGCUCGUGUGGCGCGCGUGUGUGUAACACGUGAGUAACCUGCCCCUGACUUUGGGAUAACUUCAGGAAACUGGGGCUAAUACCGGAUAGGAGCUCCUGCUGCAUGGUGGUGGUUGGAAAGUUUCGUCGGGUGGGGAUGGACUCGCGGCUUAUCAGCUUGUUGGUGGGGUAGUGGCUUACCAAGGCUUUGACGGGUAGCCGGCCUGAGAGGGUGACCGGCCACAUUGGGACUGAGAUACGGCCCAGACUCCUACGGGGGGCAGAAGUGGGGAAUAUUGCACAAUGGGCGGAAGCCUGAUGCAGCAACGCCGCGUGCGGGAUGACGGCCUUCGGUUUGUAAACCGCUUUCGCCUGUGACGAAGCGUGAGUGACGGUAAUGGGUAAAGAAGCACCGGCUAACUACGUG
RNAcentral lists this ribosomal RNA (468 nucleotides) under uncultured bacterium. RNAcentral describes it as "partial 16S ribosomal RNA". It matches the Rfam family "Bacterial small subunit ribosomal RNA", at positions 28 to 507 of the family's 1533-position model. The record is from RNAcentral.